UUUUAUUAUUAUUAGCAAUAUUAUAACUGACACAACAUAUGGCGCGAUGUCGUCGGAGACGGAGGCGAACAGGCAGGACUGUAUGUCGAUCGAAGUGCGGAACAUUUAAAAGGUGUCGCUAUUGUGAUAGACGAUACAGAGUGCGCCUGCCGCGGCGGAGACCACGCCGUCACCGCAGAUCAUGCUCCAGACGUAGAAGACGCUGCAGGUCCCCGUCGGUUUGCUUCGAGUAAAUACCGC
Molecule: long non-coding RNA, 240 nt
Organism: Papilio machaon (common yellow swallowtail)
Lineage: Eukaryota; Metazoa; Arthropoda; Insecta; Lepidoptera; Papilionidae
Exons: 5
Source: RefSeq, a predicted model, not a curated record